CUUAUUUCAUGUUAUCAGUGAAAGUCGCAACAUUGGUCGUGUCCAUGAAAUGAUAAAACAUUCCUCCUUUGGAUAAAUGUUCAAACUAACACACAGCACAUCACAUAUCCCACACAGGUAGUCUGAUGAUGCACGUUUCUCUAACCCCCAUCCCUCAGCAGUAAGCUACCACCUCUUCAACUGCAGCUCAAGCAAAGCAGUAACUAUAAUACCGGGGUUUGGGGGGGGGGGGGCGUUACAGAAAAACACAGUUCCUACUGCAACUUUUUUGGGGAGGUCAUAGGACAAAAGCUUGAUAUAUUCUCUAAGCCAUGCUCUUCUCAUUUUUAACGCUCUUUUUUCCCAUUUUUGUCUGUGAGCUCCGUCUCUUCUUCGCUUUCCCACGCUGGCUGAAUGUGCCUUGACCCCCUUCAGAGAAGUUUGACACAGAGCAGGAACAUUUCCGCAUUCCUCCCGACUACAAAGGCUAACCGCCUCCUUUUGCCCUCCUUGGUUCUUUAUCAUUCAUAGUUCUCUCUCGGUUUUGUCUCAGUGUCAAAACCAGCAGCACCACAGGGGGGGAAAGCUGCGCAGCAAGAAAAGUGUAUUUGAUGGACCAGUCGAUCUAUCCGGCCAUUGAAAACUAUUCGUUGACAAUACACCAGCGGGGAAGCAGGGUGACAAGCUCGCCUCUGGCCCAUAAGGUCAGGUUCAAGGACCAGUGGCUUGGGUUGUGUCGGGGUGAUUCUCCCAAAGCGCUCCUUCGAGGGUGCUCGGUUUCACUGCUUCAUCCAAACGUGAGAUGCCAACUGCACACGUGAGAGAUAGUCCAUAGCUUUAAAUGGUGUCGCUUGUUUUCCCCAGUGUAUUUAUCCCUGUGUUUCCUGUCUCUCUGUGCCAGUUUGUCUUGUAUGUCCAAGCCUACCAGCGGUUUUCUCGUUUUCCUGCUUUGCCUUUUUGCCUUUUUCUAGUCCUCCUGGUUUUGACCCUUGCCUGCUUCUGGACUCUUUACCCGCUGCCUGACCAUUCUGCCUGCCCUGACCUCGAGCCUGCCUGCCACUCUGUACCUCCUGGACUCUGAUCUGGUUAUGACCUUUUGCCUGUCCACGACCAUUCUCU
This 1098-nucleotide long non-coding RNA is filed under the name Salmo salar (Atlantic salmon). Its description in RNAcentral is "lncRNA (ENSSSAG00000092917.1)". The record is from RNAcentral. Lineage: Eukaryota; Metazoa; Chordata; Actinopteri; Salmoniformes; Salmonidae.